GUUAAGGAAAAGUGCAACGCCAAAGAGGACGCCAACGCAGAGGGCGAGGAUGAAGGGCCGCCGGCGGCCCCAGCUCAGGGUGCACCGGUCACUCGCAGACCCAAUGAGAGGUGUGAAGAUGAGGCCAAGGAUGGGGCUCAGGAACCAGAAACCCGCGUGUCCAUCACCAACCAGGCGGGCAAACAGUGUCGGCAGUCACAAGCACCACAGCACGGGAACGAGCGGCCGCCUUGUGCAGCCGUGAGCACGAGCCCACUCACAGCGCUGAGCGAAGCAGCCACACAGAUGACCACGCACCUCUGACGCCUGUCGUGUGAUGUCCAAAGGCGCGGAAAGGACCCUCCACUGUGAGAACUUGGGUGCCGGUUGCCCUUGGCAGGGGGCAGGGGGCAGUGGCUGAAGCGGGGUCGGGUGUCUGUUCUUGAUCUGGAUGGGAGUCCCACGCUCCAGUCACGCGGUGCCAAUUCAUCCCACAGGGGACUUGAGAUCUGUGCCCUCUCCCCAUACUAUACGUCAGUAAAACACUUCCUUACGAAAUAAAGGUGCUUGGCACGCCAGCGGCUCAUCUGGCUAACAUUGUACACUGCCAAAAGCCAUUGAGAAUAUUGUGUUGAGCUAGCAAGAAAAAUAAACUUGUGUGGGAG
This 644-nucleotide long non-coding RNA is filed under the name Homo sapiens (human). Its description in RNAcentral is "PREDICTED lncRNA (TCONS_00252822)". Lineage: Eukaryota; Metazoa; Chordata; Mammalia; Primates; Hominidae. The record is from RNAcentral.